AGCUGCUUGAUGGUGCUAUCAAGCGGCUUGAUGUACAGCGUGUUGUCCUUCAGAUUCACAUCGCCGGUGGCCCGGACCAGCUCGCCAUCGAGCGGAAUAUCCAAAUGUAAGCGACCACUCACAUCGCCGCCAAUCUGCAGCUCAUCAAGCGCGGCACCCAGUGACGGUUUCAAUGGCGUCUGAUUAAAGUAAUCGCCAAUCGCUUUGCCGGCACCGUUGAUGUCAGCAUCAAUGAUCAGCUUCUCUUUCAGAUAAUCCGGGAUUACCGCCGAGAUAUUUCUGCCAUCAACCUGCCCCAGUUUGGUGUGUUCGGCUUUCAUAAACAGGCCGUCAUUCACGAAGUCGAGGUUGAUAUCCAGAUUUUGCAGAUCCGGCCAGCCUGGCUGGAACUGGAAGGUUGAUUGUUUCAGCGGCACC
This 417-nucleotide non-coding RNA is filed under the name Erwinia billingiae. The record is from RNAcentral. Lineage: Bacteria; Pseudomonadati; Pseudomonadota; Gammaproteobacteria; Enterobacterales; Erwiniaceae.